GCCUUUGUGGCGUAACGGUUGAACGCUCGGCACGUAUUCGAGAGGUCUAGGGUUCGAGUCCCAGCUAGGGCA
This 72-nucleotide transfer RNA is filed under the name Stegodyphus mimosarum. It matches the Rfam family "tRNA". From Rfam's summary of the family: Transfer RNA (tRNA) molecules are approximately 80 nucleotides in length. Their secondary structure includes four short double-helical elements and three loops (D, anti-codon, and T loops). Further hydrogen bonds mediate the characteristic L-shaped molecular structure. tRNAs have two regions of fundamental functional importance: the anti-codon, which is responsible for specific mRNA codon recognition, and the 3' end, to which the tRNAs corresponding amino acid is attached (by aminoacyl-tRNA synthetases). tRNAs cope with the degeneracy of the genetic code in two manners: having more than one tRNA (with a specific anti-codon) for a particular amino acid; and 'wobble' base-pairing, i.e. permitting non-standard base-pairing at the 3rd anti-codon position. Lineage: Eukaryota; Metazoa; Arthropoda; Arachnida; Araneae; Eresidae. The record is from Rfam by way of RNAcentral.